GACGAACGCUGGCGGCGUGCCUAAUACAUGCAAGUUGAGCGCUGAAGGUUGGUACUUGUACCGACUGGAUGAGCAGCGAACGGGUGAGUAACGCGUGGGGAAUCUGCCUUUGAGCGGGGGACAACAUUUGGAAACGAAUGCUAAUACCGCAUAAAAACUUUAAACACAAGUUUUAAGUUUGAAAGAUGCAAUUGCAUCACUCAAAGAUGAUCCCGCGUUGUAUUAGCUAGUUGGUGAGGUAAAGGCUCACCAAGGCGAUGAUACAUAGCCGACCUGAGAGGGUGAUCGGCCACAUUGGGACUGGGACACGGCCCAAACUCCUACGGGAGGCAGCAGUAGGGAAUCUUCGGCAAUGGACGAAAGUCUGAACGAGCAACGCCGCGUGAGUGAAGAAGGUUUUCGGAUCGUAAAACUCUGUUGGUAGAGAAGAACGUUGGUGAGAGUGGAAAGCUCAUCAAGUGACGGUAACUACCCAGAAAGGGACGGCUAACUACGUG
This 497-nucleotide ribosomal RNA is filed under the name uncultured bacterium. Its description in RNAcentral is "partial 16S ribosomal RNA". It matches the Rfam family "Bacterial small subunit ribosomal RNA", at positions 28 to 507 of the family's 1533-position model. The record is from RNAcentral.